This 312-nucleotide ribosomal RNA is filed under the name uncultured bacterium. Its description in RNAcentral is "bacterial SSU rRNA". It matches the Rfam family "Bacterial small subunit ribosomal RNA", at positions 486 to 793 of the family's 1533-position model. The record is from RNAcentral.
AGAAGUCACGGCUAACUACGUGCCAGCAGCCGCGGUAAUACGUAGGUGGCAAGCGUUAUCCGGAUUUAUUGGGACGUAAAGAGAGUGCAGGCGGUUUUUCUAAGUCUGAUGUGAAAGCCUUCGGCUUAAACCGGAGAAGUGCAUACGGAAACUGGAUAACUUGAGUGCAGAAGAGGGUAGUGGAACUCCAUGUGUAGCGGUGGAAUGCGUAGAUAUAUGGAAGAACACCAGUGGCGAAGGCGGCUACCUGGUCUGCAACUGACGCUGAGACUCGAAAGCAUGGGUAGCGAACAGGAUUAGAUACCCUGGUAG